UAGGGAAUCUUCCGCAAUGGACGCAAGUCUGACGGAGCAACGCCGCGUGAGUGAAGAAGGUUUUCGGAUCGUAAAGCUCUGUUGUAAGAGAAGAACGAGUGUGAGAGUGGAAAGUUCACACUGUGACGGUAUCUUACCAGAAAGGGACGGCUAACUACGUGCCAGCAGCCGCGGUAAUACGUAGGUCCCGAGCGUUAUCCGGAUUUAUUGGGCGUAAAGCGAGCGCAGGCGGUUAGAUAAGUCUGAAGUUAAAGGCUGUGGCUUAACCAUAGUACGCCUUGGAAACUGUUUAACUUGAGUGCAAGAGGGGAGAGUGGAAUUCCAUGUGUAGCGGUGAAAUGCGUAGAUAUAUGGAGGAACACCGGUGGCGAAAGUGGCUCUCUGGCUUGUAACUGACGCUGAGGCUCGAAAGCGUGGGGAGCAAACAGGAUUAGAUACCCUGGUAGUCCACGCCGUAAACGAUGAGUGCUAGGUGUUAGACCCUUUCCGGGGUUUAGUGCCGUAGCUAACGCAUUAAGCACUCCGCCUGGGGAGUACGACCGCAAGGUUG
This 550-nucleotide ribosomal RNA is filed under the name uncultured bacterium. RNAcentral's name for it is "bacterial SSU rRNA". It matches the Rfam family "Bacterial small subunit ribosomal RNA", at positions 355 to 896 of the family's 1533-position model. The record is from RNAcentral.